AGGUGAGUUAAUUUAGAACAAUCAAGGCGCCAUUUUUAAAGUAUUCUCAUAGCCCCUGACGCGGGUAGGACGCGUAGUGCUGAGCUUGGCCCCAUUUCACAGAGGAGGGGACUCUCUGGGUGUCUCCGCGGCAGCAGGAGGGCGCGGCCGAAGCCCCAAGCCCGGUCCUCCGCCGCCACCAACACCUUCCAGCCGGCCGGGUAUCCCCCUGCCGGCUGGGACUUUCGACUUUAUCAGCUCGACAGCAGCAAGGCCUCUGCAGAGAAGGCGAUGGCACCCCACUCCAGUACUCUUGCCUGGAAAAUCCCAUGGAUGCAGGAGCCUGAUCACACAGGUCAAGGACAGGUGUUCCCUGGGCCAAAACAAACAGACCUUGACUGGACGGCAUACCGAUGUGUUGGUUUCACCCUGUUCUUUCUGCGUGUCCCUCGGCUCAGUUGAUACAGCGUGAUCAGGACAGUGUAAAGUGAUAGACACGCCAUCACGACCUGCGCUGACCUUAGCUGUGUGCUCACAGGCACUGCCUGCGUGUUCUGGGAAGGGGGACGCCGGGUGGUUUUUUUCCCCACAAAGUGGGUUCACUGAAUCCUAGUGACUUGGAUGUUUUGGGAGUGGUUGUUUAAAAAAUCCCACCCAGUACUUCAGUUUGCUCUGCUGUUUCUAAGGACAGUCGCAGCCCCAGACUUCAGGAGGGAGAUUCAUCCAC
Molecule: long non-coding RNA, 706 nt
Organism: Bos taurus (domestic cattle)
Lineage: Eukaryota; Metazoa; Chordata; Mammalia; Artiodactyla; Bovidae
Source: Ensembl